Molecule: unclassified non-coding RNA, 306 nt
Filed under: Mycobacterium farcinogenes
Lineage: Bacteria; Bacillati; Actinomycetota; Actinomycetes; Mycobacteriales; Mycobacteriaceae
Description: Mycolicibacterium farcinogenes partial tmRNA
Source: RNAcentral
CGAAUCAAGGGAAGCGUGCCGGUGCAGGCAAGAGACCACCGUAAGCGUCGUUGCAACCAAUUAAGCGCCGAUUCCAAUCAGCGCGACUACGCCCUCGCUGCCUAAGCGACGGCUGGUCUGUCAGACCGGGAACGCCCUCGGCCCGGAUCCUGGCAUCAGCUAGAGGGACCCACCCACGGGUUCGGUCGCGGAAUCCGUGGGGACAUCAAACAGCGACUGGGAUCGUCAUCUCAGCUUGUUCGCGUGACUGAGAGAUCCGAGUAGAGGCACAGCGAACUGCGCACGGAGAAGCCUCGAGGACAUGCC